Molecule: transfer RNA, 74 nt
Filed under: Oscillospiraceae bacterium
Lineage: Bacteria; Bacillati; Bacillota; Clostridia; Eubacteriales; Oscillospiraceae
Description: tRNA-Gly
Rfam family: tRNA
About the family: Transfer RNA (tRNA) molecules are approximately 80 nucleotides in length. Their secondary structure includes four short double-helical elements and three loops (D, anti-codon, and T loops). Further hydrogen bonds mediate the characteristic L-shaped molecular structure. tRNAs have two regions of fundamental functional importance: the anti-codon, which is responsible for specific mRNA codon recognition, and the 3' end, to which the tRNAs corresponding amino acid is attached (by aminoacyl-tRNA synthetases). tRNAs cope with the degeneracy of the genetic code in two manners: having more than one tRNA (with a specific anti-codon) for a particular amino acid; and 'wobble' base-pairing, i.e. permitting non-standard base-pairing at the 3rd anti-codon position.
Source: RNAcentral
GCGGGUGUAAUUCAAUGGUAGAAUUCCAGCCUUCCAAGCUGAUAGCGUGGGUUCGAUUCCCAUCACCCGCUCCA